GACGUAGGGCGCGAGCGUUGUCCGGAUUUAUUGGGCGUAAAGAGCUCGUAGGCGGUGUGUCGCGUCGGCCGUGAAAACCUGCAGCUUAGCUGUGGGCUUGCGGUCGAUACGGGCAUCACUGGAGUUCGGCAGGGGAGACUGGAAUUCCUGGUGUAGCGGUGAAAUGCGCAGAUAUCAGGAGGAACACCGGUGGCGAAGGCGGGUCUCUGGGCCGAUACUGACGCUGAGGAGCGAAAGCGUGGGGAGCGAACAGG
Molecule: ribosomal RNA, 254 nt
Filed under: uncultured bacterium
Lineage: Bacteria
Description: partial 16S ribosomal RNA
Rfam family: Bacterial small subunit ribosomal RNA
Source: RNAcentral